RNAcentral lists this long non-coding RNA (255 nucleotides) under Vigna radiata. Its description in RNAcentral is "long non-coding RNA (VRAD_LNC006175)". The record is from RNAcentral. Lineage: Eukaryota; Viridiplantae; Streptophyta; Magnoliopsida; Fabales; Fabaceae.
GGAUGCAGGGGCAUAGGCUUAUUAUAGAAUGCUAUAUUUUUUUAUUGAAAGGAGUAAUAGGAAAGUGAUUAUUUCAUUUUGGGUGGGUCCCAUGGUAUAAAAUAAAGGGAUUUAAACUUUAAGAAGGGUGUUGUAUUAGGUAGAGGGGUGGGUUUUUAGGAUUCAAGGAGAUUAAAUUGAAAUGUUGGCACUCGGGUCUUUAGGAAAGAGAGAGGUUAAACCCUUUCAAAGGUCCUAAUUUAUGUAAGGUUUUCC